Long non-coding RNA from Monomorium pharaonis (pharaoh ant), 426 nucleotides. RefSeq lists it as uncharacterized. The transcript has 3 exons. Lineage: Eukaryota; Metazoa; Arthropoda; Insecta; Hymenoptera; Formicidae. The record is from RefSeq and is a predicted model, not a curated record.
GACGCCGGCAACCGCCUCGGAGUCAGAACCUCAGAACGUUAAAUGGGAAAAGACGCAGAGGAGAAAGGGACGAACUCAACCGCGAACAUAGCCGAGUGCGCGACGGCUCACGCCGAUCGCAGCCGAGCGCGCGUGCCUCACGAUAGGGGGAGUGCGAUGUGUGCGUGAGCGUGCCCGGGCUUGAAAUCGCAUCACGGGUGCUGAGUGAUUAUCGAUGAUUAAUAACAAAAUUUUAUCAAAAGGAUUUUUCAAGGAAUCCUUACAAAUUUGAUCUGGACAGCCUGAAUGGAAGAGGAGACUUAAGAAAAACAUCAGGCGUUGGUGGAGCGACAAAUGAAUUGUCAGCGACAUUACAAUAUAUAACUCCACAUCGGUCGGUGAGUGAUAAGUAAAUUUUCAUAACUGAGAUAAUAGAUAUGUGACAAU